Salvia miltiorrhiza (redroot sage) is the source of this 911-nucleotide long non-coding RNA. RefSeq lists it as uncharacterized. The transcript has 2 exons. NCBI's taxonomy places the organism in Eukaryota, Viridiplantae, Streptophyta, Magnoliopsida, Lamiales, Lamiaceae. The record is from RefSeq and is a predicted model, not a curated record.
AUCCGCACAGAUGAUUCACUCUUUGUUUCCCCAAAUUUCUUCUGCAAAUUGAAAAUUUCACUCUCUUUCUCCGUCAACAUUUUCUCCACUUCAGAAUCUAUCUAUCAAUUAUAUAAUACAAUACAUAUUGGAGAGCUGACAAUGAUUCUCUAUCCUAUGUGGCGCUCCCUAAGCCUCUCUAUUCUGUUUUAUCUAAAUUCUACUACCUUUUACUCAAAAAAAAACACACGCUUCUCAGUUCUCACAGCAAUCAAUCCCUAAUUUGGUAUUUUCUCGGCAUAGCUUGAUCAAUGGCUCAAAUCUCUCUCUCUCUCUCCAUAUCAAUGCAAACGCCCUAAUUUGGUAUCUGACGCCUUACCAUAGGAGCCUCCAUGGUAUGCCAGCUCUUCUCUGACGCCCUACCAUAUAUGCGCCUCUCUUCCCCUCCCAAAUCUAGAAUCAUAAGUCGUCGCCGCCGGCUUCGUCUCCUUCAGUCGCUGCCGCCGCCGGCUGCAGCUCACCAGGGAAUGCCCCAUUCUUUGCAAGAUUGAGCUCAAACAUGUUUGGUUCCGAUCCAGGAUCGUAGGUUACGAACCUUGCUAAAGAGGCAAAGAAAGAAAGGAAUGCUCUGUCCAAGGAGGUUGCAAAGAUCAGCAACCAUGGAAUCUCAGUCUGAAUCUCACCACUUUUGCUCUUUCUUCCAUGGAUAUGAGGUCUUCAUUAUCAGUUUUAUUUUUUCAGAUAAUUGAUUGGUAAGUUUCCGACGUUGAAUAAAAUUUCACAUCAAAGUUGUAGCUCAGAAAAUCUCUGUUGAACAAGUACAGCUAAAAUCAAAAGUAAACAUACCAACUUCGGCCCUGUUUUCCAUUUCUUUUCAAGGAAGUCACUCAAGCAUUGUGAUGUCUAAAUCUUAAUCUUGUUUAUGCGCUUAA